AUCAGUGAUGUCAACAAGGGCCAGGGCUCCGUAUCAGCAUCAGUGACAGAGGGCCAGCAGAACGAGCAGUGACAAGACAGGUGGGGCCUGGCUCCCCACCCGCCAGCUCCAGGACUGCCCCUUCCUGGGCCAACUAACCAGACAACUGGGAAGAGCCCCCAACUCCAACAGGAUUAUUUUCCCAGGAGGAGUUACAGAUGCAGCCACAGAUUGAUCAUCUGCCUUAACGUGAUCGGAGAUGCUUUGUAAUCUACUGUCCAGCUGAAAGCACUCAUGUUACGAGGAAGAAACUACAAGUGAUGUUCAAAUCUAUUUUGGGUCAUUUUUAUGUACCUUUGGGUUCAGGCAUUAUUUGGGGGGUUUUGUUUCCAAAGGAACUAAAUAAAGUCAUAUUGCUUAUA
This 401-nucleotide long non-coding RNA is filed under the name Homo sapiens (human). RNAcentral describes it as "non-protein coding lnc-GHRL-1:1". Lineage: Eukaryota; Metazoa; Chordata; Mammalia; Primates; Hominidae. The record is from RNAcentral.